Long non-coding RNA from Pelmatolapia mariae (spotted tilapia), 2857 nucleotides. RefSeq lists it as uncharacterized. The record is from RefSeq and is a predicted model, not a curated record. The transcript is spliced from 5 exons. Lineage: Eukaryota; Metazoa; Chordata; Actinopteri; Cichliformes; Cichlidae.
AGGUGCUGGAUUAGCUGCUGGAUUAGCUCUUCGAUUAACAACUUGCUGGAGGCUAUUCAAAUUAGCCACACCGUGGGAUGUAAGGAGCUCUCUGAUUGGUUGGUCAGACACAGGCUGUCUGCCAGCCUGGAUUUUUCUAGCUCAUAGCUUCGCCCUGCUACGAAGCGUGUGUGCUUGUACAAAGGCCGUUCAGCCUCGGGAUUUACACUCGGCUCGACACGGAUAUGUGAAGAAUGAAGGGACCCUGCAGCGAAACGGAGAGCCAACCUCUGACUGAGUGCCUGUCUACACAGUCUGACCACCUGUUGAAGGGCUAUUUGAUGACGAUUUGGACUCCUCUGGGAGAUGAGGACACACCCACAUCUGUUCCAUACUGCAACCAUUGAUGGUGUUACAGCUCUGAGGCAGCUUUAGGCCAUCAGAUGCACACACUGGAAAACCAGCACCUGGGCCCUGUUUCAGAAAGCGAGUUUAGAAAACUCAGAGUUAAAAAUGAUACUCAGGGUUGAGUAACCCCGAACUGUCCAACUCGGAAUAUUCAGUUUCAGAAAGGCUGAUAACAAUUAGUUCAAUCAACACGGAGUUGCUUUAACCCCAAGUUAAGCGCGCGCACGAGGAUACGUAAAGCCCUGAUUAGUGGAGCACAGAUUAAGCGAGGCACCAUGGAGAUGGAGGGAAAGAAGGCGCGGUCAAUGUAUUUUACAGCGCUUGAGGCCGAAAUUCUGAUGGCAGCAUAUGCCAAUAACAUGCAAAUUUUGCGGAAAAAAAGUAACACAGCCUCAGCUGCAAAAGAAAGGGAGCAUGCAUGGCAAAACAUAGCCGACAGAGUCAAUGCGUGAGUGUUAAUUUAAACAUUGAUCUAGGGAUUUCCACCUAUUUAACACGUUAUUUUAUUAUAUUUCAUUUUAUUUUUUAUUUUAUACAUUUUAUUUUGUGAUGUGAUGUGAGCGCAGGUGCAACCCAACAGGCCCCAAACGUUCCUGGCAGCAAGUAAAAAUGAAAUAUAAAAAUAUAGUCCAAACAGGUAAGGUGUAAUUGUAUUAUGAGCCAUAGUGCUUGGUCUGUUUGUCCUAUGUAAAUCAAUUGCAGUUAGAGGCUACAUUAAUUUUCUUUCUGUAAGCACUUAUUGAAAUUAUCUGAGCACAUUACAAGUACAUAUUUGCUUACUCUGUAUGCUCAAAUGUGACCCGUUAUAGCCAACAGAAAAAAAGCGGAGGCCCGAAAAACAGGUGGGGGUCCUCCACCACCACCACUCACAGAGGCUGAGCAGUUGGCCCUCAGCCAAAACAGUGGGCGCCCUGUGGCUGAAGGCAUCUCUGCGGGGACAUCCUCUGAGUCAAUAACCCCGCAAGACACAAGUGCCUACAUAAGAGGUAAAUUCAAAAUAAUACAUGAUGUGCAUACAUCCUUUCUUCACAGUCACCUUUGCAGUGCACUCUUUACCAUAAUGAAUUAUUUUGUAGUGAAGUUAUUUUCCUACUGAUUUUGCCUUCCCUCAGUCUUGGUUGUCUUUGAGAGCAUAAUGACAAUGAAGUGUAAGGUUAUUGGUAUAUGUUUGUUAAUUGCCAUUUGGUCCCCUGUAAGUUAUAAGUGACCUGUAUAAACCUCAUAUUCUAUCAGUUGAUGGUGAUGGUGUACUGCAUCUGGUGCAGCCUCCUGUUGAGCCAGACCAACAUGCAGUUGUGAGUACUCUUAAUACUCCACAGAUUAUAUGAGUUUACAGUAGAACAGCAAUGUUGUUAAUGUCUUUACUACAGGAAAAUCAUGAAGAGACAUUGACAGCUGUUACAGAGGAGGAAGCAACAGAGACACUUUAUGAGAGUGAUGAUGGAAAUGCAGAGGAAGAGGGUCCAGCCACUUCUCCAACAAACCUUUCCUCACUCCCUGUAAAGCAGCUGUACAAGACCUAUUUGAUCAAGAAAAUAAAAAAAUGCGACUUGGAAAUGGAACACUUCAAGCAGCAGAUCCAAAAGACCAAGAUUGAGAUUUUACUGCUGGAACAUCAGUUAAGGAAUUCAUCAGCAGCUGUGGAGAGAUACAUUUGAAUAUCUUCUGGUUCCACUUUUCCUUACCUGGAAGCUGAGCAUUGCUGAUUUCUGACAAGGACACAAACCUCAGCACUUAUCAUGGGUGUUACAUCCUCCGUGCAGCAAUUCCAGGGAAAAUGAGAGAGCAACGAUCACUCAUUAAGACCAGCCAGAAAUCUGUCCCUUUCUGGCAGCUGUGAAAACUUCCAAUAAGAAAGUUUGCAUUCUUAGAACAAUGCUGGGUCGUGUGUGAUGUGUCAUUAUAUGAGGAUAUUACAUUUUGCCUUAAUUCUGCUCAAUUAAGUGUUUUGAUCGUUGAUCCAAUAUGGCAGCUUUGUGUUGUGCUGCAAGUUAAAACUCAUUGUCCUCAUGAGCACAGCAUCUAACAACUCUCCUUAAAAAAGUCAAUUGACUUUAACUGGACACAAUGGUUUCCAGUGGGAGAUACAUUCAUCACUCAUCCGUGACACUGGAGAAGUCACCUGAGUGAGUGAUAAAACAAUUUUUCAUGGAAAAUCCAGAGGAACUAAACUUUGUUGUUGUUUCUUUGGGCUCAAUUUUGCCUGAGGCUGAAAUUGAGCCCAAAAUGUUUUCUUCUUUCAGAAGAAAACAUGAGGACUUCUUUCAGAAGAAAACAUUUUGCCAAUAAUCAGAUAAAAAGAUUGUUGAACCAGGUGGUAUUCUCUGGAGUUUAAGACCAAAACUGAACUCAAACAGUGAAUUGACAUUAGACUGGAAUUCAUAAGAUGAAUAGAAAUACUGCUGAAGCUGAAUGAUACACACACACACACACACACACACACAUAUACAUAUAUAUAUAUAUAUAUAUA